RNAcentral lists this long non-coding RNA (408 nucleotides) under Capra hircus (goat). Its description in RNAcentral is "lncRNA (ENSCHIG00000002540.1)". Lineage: Eukaryota; Metazoa; Chordata; Mammalia; Artiodactyla; Bovidae. The record is from RNAcentral.
GACUCCCCUCCCUUACCUUGCUUUUUAAAAUGCUUUGCUGAAAUCCAGUGGGAAGUGUUGACUUUUUGAGCAUGAGCUAUCCCAGACUCCAGGCUUGGUGCCCUGCAAUAAAUGCUGCAGUUCUGUUCACCACAACUCAGUUCUCCUUUUUCCACCAGUGUCACCACUGUUGGUCCUAUGAGAGUCACGGCCUUGCUGAGAAGGGGAGAGGAAGUUGAAGCAUAUAUUUUGGAGAAUCUGGAGGGUGGAAGAUUUCAUGUAUUAAAGAGCAAGGCCCACUUGGCAAAAUCCAGGUGUUUUACAACUGAACAGGACAUUAAGCAUUGGAUUAUUCUAUCAAGUUCUAAAUUUAAGAAACUUGUGCUUUUGAAAGUAAGCAAUUCAGCUACCCUGAAGCAACCAUUCUAA